CACAGGUUGUGAACUCGAAGAGUAGGGCGGGACACGUGGUAUCCUGUCUGAAUAUGGGGGGACCAUCCUCCAAGGCUAAAUACUCCUGACUGACCGAUAGUGAACCAGUACCGUGAGGGAAAGGCGAAAAGAACCCCGGCGAGGGGAGUGAAAAAGAACCUGAAACCGUGUACGUACAAGCAGUGGGAGCACCUUCGGGUGUGACUGCGUACCUUUUGUAUAAUGGGUCAGCGACUUAUAUUCUGUAGCAAGGUUAACCGUAUAGGGGAGCCGAAGGGAAACCGAGUCUUAACUGGGCGUUAAGUUGCAGGGUAUAGACCCGAAACCCGGUGAUCUAGCCAUGGGCAGGUUGAAGGUUGGGUAACACUAACUGGAGGACCGAACCGACUAAUGUUGAAAAAUUAGCGGAUGACUUGUGGCUGGGGGUGAAAGGCCAAUCAAACCGGGAGAUAGCUGGUUCUCCCCGAAAGCUAUUUAGGUAGCGCCUCGUGAACUCAUCUUCGGGGGUAGAGCACUGUUUCGGCUAGGGGGCCAUCCCGGCUUACCAACCCGAUGCAAACUACGAAUACCGAAGAAUGUUAUCACGGGAGACACACGGCGGGUGCUAACGUCCGUCGUGAAGAGGGAAACAACCCAGACCGCCAGCUAAGGUCCCAAAGUCAUGGUUAAGUGGGAAACGAUGUGGGAAGGCACAGACAGCCAGGAUGUUGGCUUAGAAGCAGCCAUCAUUUAAAGAAAGCGUAAUAGCUCACUGGUCGAGUCGGCCUGCGCGGAAGAUGUAACGGGGCUAAACCAUGCACCGAAGCUGCGGCAGCGACRCUAUGYGUUGUUGGGUAGGGGAGCGUUCUGUAAGCCGUUGAAGGUGGCCUGUGAGGGUUGCUGGAGGUAUCAGAAGUGCGAAUGCUGACAUAAGUAACGAUAAAGCGGGUGAAAAGCCCGCUCGCCGGAAGACCAAGGGUUCCUGUCCAACGUUAAUCGGGGCAGGGUGAGUCGACCCCUAAGGCGAGGCCGAAAGGCGUAGUCGAUGGGAAACAGGUUAAUAUUCCUGUACUUGGUGUUACUGCGAAGGGGGGACGGAGAAGGCUAUGUUAGCCGGGCGACGGUUGUCCCGGUUUAAGCAUGUAGGCGGAGGUUCCAGGUAAAUCCGGWACCUUUUAACGCUGAGGUGUGAUGACGAGGCACUACGGUGCUGAAGUAACAAAUGCCCUGCUUCCAGGAAAAGCCUCUAAGCAUCAGGUAACAUCAAAUCGUACCCCAAACCGACACAGGUGGUCAGGUAGAGAAUACCAAGGCGCUUGAGAGAACUCGGGUGAAGGAACUAGGCAAAAUGGUGCCGUAACUUCGGGAGAAGGCACGCUGAUAUGUAGGUGAAGCCCCUGCGGGUGGAGCUGAAAUCAGUCGAAGAUACCAGCUGGCUGCAACUGUUUAUUAAAAACACAGCACUGUGCAAACACGAAAGUGGACGUAUACGGUGUGACGCCUGCCCGGUGCCGGAAGGUUAAUUGAUGGGGUUAGCGGCAACGCGAAGCUCUUGAUCGAAGCCCCGGUAAACGGCGGCCGUAACUAUAACGGUCCUAAGGUAGCGAAAUUCCUUGUCGGGUAAGUUCCGACCUGCACGAAUGGCGUAAUGAUGGCCAGGCUGUCUCCACCCGAGACUCAGUGAAAUUGAACUCGCUGUGAAGAUGCAGUGUACCCGCGGCAAGACGGAAAGACCCCGUGAACCUUUACUAUAGCUUGACACUGAACACUGGUCCUUGAUGUGUAGGAUAGGUGGGAGGCUUUGAAGUGUGGACGCCAGUCUGCAUGGAGCCGUCCUUGAAAUACCACCCUUUAAUGGCUGGUGUUCUAACGUAGACCCGUAAUCCGGGUUGCGGACAGUGUCUGGUGGGUAGUUUGACUGGGGCGGUCUCCUCCCAAAGAGUAACGGAGGAGCACGAAGGUUAGCUAAUCCUGGUCGGACAUCAGGAGGUUAGUGCAAUGGCAUAAGCUAGCUUGACUGCGAGAGUGACGGCUCGAGCAGGUGCGAAAGCAGGUCAUAGUGAUCCGGUGGUUCUGAAUGGAAGGGCCAUCGCUCAACGGAUAAAAGGUACUCCGGGGAUAACAGGCUGAUACCGCCCAAGAGUUCAUAUCGACGGCGGUGUUUGGCACCUCGAUGUCGGCUCAUCACAUCCUGGGGCUGAAGUAGGUCCCAAGGGUAUGGCUGUUCGCCAUUUAAAGUGGUACGCGAGCUGGGUUUAGAACGUCGUGAGACAGUUCGGUCCCUAUCUGCCGUGGGCGCUGGAGAAUUGAGGGGGGCUGCUCCUAGUACGAGAGGACCGGAGUGGACGCAUCACUGGUGUUCGGGUUGUCAUGCCAAUGGCACUGCCCGGUAGCUAAAUGCGGAAGAGAUAAGUGCUGAAAGCAUCUAAGCACGAAACUUGCCCCGAGAUGAGUUCUCCCUGAG
RNAcentral lists this ribosomal RNA (2443 nucleotides) under Enterobacter sichuanensis. Its description in RNAcentral is "partial 23S ribosomal RNA". Lineage: Bacteria; Pseudomonadati; Pseudomonadota; Gammaproteobacteria; Enterobacterales; Enterobacteriaceae. The record is from RNAcentral.